Molecule: ribosomal RNA, 253 nt
Filed under: uncultured bacterium
Lineage: Bacteria
Description: partial 16S ribosomal RNA
Rfam family: Bacterial small subunit ribosomal RNA
Source: RNAcentral
UACGGAGGGAGCUAGCGUUGUUCGGAAUUACUGGGCGUAAAGCGCGCGUAGGCGGUCUUUUAAGUCGGGGGUGAAAUCCUGGAGCUCAACUCCAGAACUGCCUUCGAUACUGGAAGACUUGAGUCCGGGAGAGGUGAGUGGAACUGCGAGUGUAGAGGUGAAAUUCGUAGAUAUUCGCAAGAACACCAGUGGCGAAGGCGGCUCACUGGCCCGGUACUGACGCUGAGGUGCGAAAGCGUGGGGAGCAAACAGG